Molecule: ribosomal RNA, 285 nt
Filed under: Macrococcoides caseolyticum
Lineage: Bacteria; Bacillati; Bacillota; Bacilli; Caryophanales; Staphylococcaceae
Description: Macrococcus caseolyticus partial 16S ribosomal RNA
Rfam family: Bacterial small subunit ribosomal RNA
Source: RNAcentral
CGGGCCUAUACAUGCAAGUCGAGCGAACGGACGAGAGUGCUUGCACUCUCUGANGUUAGCGGCGGNACGGGUGAGUAACACGUGGGUAACCUACCUAUAAGACUGGGAUAACUUCGGGAAACCGGAGCUAAUACCGGAUAAUAUUUAGCUUCGCAUGAAGCAAUAGUGAAAGACGGUUCUGCUGUCACUUAUAGAUGGACCCGCGGUGUAUUAGCUAGUUGGUGAGGUAACGGCUCACCAAGGCAACGAUACAUAGCCGACCUGAGAGGGUGAUCGGCCACUGGG